Molecule: ribosomal RNA, 484 nt
Filed under: uncultured bacterium
Lineage: Bacteria
Description: partial 16S ribosomal RNA
Rfam family: Bacterial small subunit ribosomal RNA
Source: RNAcentral
GACGAACGCUGGCGGCGUGCUUAACACAUGCAAGUCGAACGAUGAUGCUGGAGCUUGCUCCAGUUGAUUAGUGGCGAACGGGUGAGUAACUCGUGAGCAAUCUGCCCUUGACUCUGGGAUAACUGCGGGAAACUGUAGCUAAUACCGGAUACUUUCACCGGAAGGCAUCUUCUGGUGAUGAAAGAAUUUCGGUCAGGGAUGAGCUCGCGGCCUAUCAGCUUGUUGGUGAGGUAACGGCUCACCAAGGCGACGACGGGUAACCGGCCUGAGAGGGUGACCGGUCACACUGGGACUGGGACACGGCCCAGACUCCUACGGGAGGCAGGAGUGGGGAAUAUUGCACAAUGGGCGCAAGCCUGAUGCAGCAACGCCGCGUGAGGGAUGAAGGCCUUCGGGUUGUAAACCUCUUUUAGCAGGGAAGAAGCGAAAGUGACGGUACCUGCAGAAAAAGCACCGGCUAACUACGUGCCAGCCGCCGCCGUAA